GAUGAACGCUGGCGGCGUGCCUAAUACAUGCAAGUCGAGCGAACAGACGAGGAGCUUGCUCCUCUGACGUUAGCGGCGGACGGGUGAGUAACACGUGGAUAACCUACCUAUAAGACUGGGAUAACUUCGGGAAACCGGAGCUAAUACCGGAUAAUAUAUUGAACCGCAUGGUUCAAUAGUGAAAGACGGUUUUGCUGUCACUUAUAGAUGGAUCCGCGCCGCAUUAGCUAGUUGGUAAGGUAACGGCUUACCAAGGCGACGAUGCGUAGCCGACCUGAGAGGGUGAUCGGCCACACUGGAACUGAGACACGGUCCAGACUCCUACGGGAGGCAGCAGUAGGGAAUCUUCCGCAAUGGGCGAAAGCUUGACGGAGCAACGCCGCGUGAGUGAUGAAGGUCUUCGGAUCGUAAAACUCUGUUAUUAGGGAAGAACAAAUGUGUAAGUAACUAUGCACGUCUUGACGGUACCUAAUCAGAAAGCCACGGCUAACUACGU
This 496-nucleotide ribosomal RNA is filed under the name uncultured bacterium. Its description in RNAcentral is "partial 16S ribosomal RNA". It matches the Rfam family "Bacterial small subunit ribosomal RNA", at positions 28 to 506 of the family's 1533-position model. The record is from RNAcentral.